ACUCCUACGGGAGGCAGCAGUGGGGAAUAUUGCACAAUGGGCGCAAGCCUGAUGCAGCCAUGCCGCGUGUAUGAAGAAGGCCUUCGGGUUGUAAAGUACUUUCAGCAGUGAGGAAGGUGGGUAUGUUAAUAGCAUAUUCAUUUGACGUUAGCUGCAGAAGAAGCACCGGCUAACUCCGUGCCAGCAGCCGCGGUAAGUACGGAGGGUGCGAGCGUUAAUCGGAAUUACUGGGCGUAAAGCGCAUGCAGGUGGUUUGUUAAGUCAGAUGUGAAAGCCCGGGGUCUCAACCGUCGGAAUUGCAUUUGAAACUGGCAAACUAGAGUACUGGUAGAGGGGGUUAGAAUUUCGAGGUGUAGC
RNAcentral lists this ribosomal RNA (357 nucleotides) under uncultured bacterium. Its description in RNAcentral is "bacterial SSU rRNA". It matches the Rfam family "Bacterial small subunit ribosomal RNA", at positions 335 to 679 of the family's 1533-position model. The record is from RNAcentral.